UCCCGAAAUACCAGGCUGCUGAACACCAGACUCUCCCUGUAAGCCGCAGGCCAAUUAGUGUGGUGUUUCAGCAUUGUUAUCUGCCUGUCAUGGUGGGUUUCUCCUUCCUUCUCUCUGUUUGUCGAACCACAAACUGCUGCUGCUGAUGGGCCACGGGGCGCCGUGAGAGCCGCAGAGGAGACGGAUGGAGGACAGGAACAGAAAAAGAAGAAUACUGAUGAUCAUUCGCCAAUGGACAUGGAACUGAUGCAACCAUCUGCUAUGAUGUCGAGCAAUAUGGAGGAAACUUCCUUUCAUGUGCCGAGAUGGGAUGAGGGCGUGCCCACACAAACUUUGAUGGAGGGAACCCCACUCCUUCAUCCACCAUGAAUGCUGAUCGGACUUGUAAUCAUCUGCAACAGAGGCUGACAUUAGAUGAGAGUCCUGCAGGACACAUAGAAUCGUCAUGGGACGGGACCGUUGCUGUGCUGUUUGAACGGGACUCGUGCGAGACAAAGCUUAGCCUCAGUCUGGGGAGUGGAUGAAGAACAUUUGCAUGUAAUUACAUGUAACAUUUGGUUAACAGUUAUUUCUGCACGCAUUGGCAUACAUAAUAAUUUGCUCUUUACUUCAGAAAAUCUGUAAUGCAUCUGCCCUAUUUCAUGAAUUGUUGCACAACAAGCCCAGGUUCCAAUGCCCUGGCUUCAACGAGCUUACUUAAACCCAAAUGUAGUUCUCACUAUGGGGAAAAGCUCUGUUAAUGAACAAAAAAACACUCCGGAAAGAGAAAGUCAAAGAAAGGUCUGUCUUGCUUCAGGAUCAGCAACCCUUUAGUUUAGGAUUAGGAGAAGGAUUUGUCGGUUGCAGUUUGCAAAUACAACAUUCAAAGUUGG
Long non-coding RNA from Gasterosteus aculeatus aculeatus (three-spined stickleback), 872 nucleotides. The record is from Ensembl. NCBI's taxonomy places the organism in Eukaryota, Metazoa, Chordata, Actinopteri, Perciformes, Gasterosteidae.